UACAGAGGGUGCGAGCGUUGUCCGGAAUCACUGGGCGUAAAGGGCGCGUAGGUGGCGACCCAAGUCUGUGGUGAAAGCUCGACGCUCAACGUCGAGUCGGCCAUAGAUACUGGGUUGCUUGAGCACUGUAGAGGCAGAUGGAAUUCCGGGUGUAGCGGUGGAAUGCGUAGAUAUCGUAAGGAAGACCAGUGGCGAAGGCGGGUCUCUGGACAGUUCCUGACGCUGAGGCACGAAGGUCAGGGGAGCAAACGGG
RNAcentral lists this ribosomal RNA (253 nucleotides) under uncultured bacterium. RNAcentral describes it as "partial 16S ribosomal RNA". It matches the Rfam family "Bacterial small subunit ribosomal RNA", at positions 524 to 776 of the family's 1533-position model. The record is from RNAcentral.